CCUACGGCUGGCAGCAGUGGGGAAUAUUGGACAAUGGGCGAAAGCCUGAUCCAGCCAUGCCGCGUGUGUGAAGAAGGCCUUCGGGUUGUAAAGCACUUUCAGUGGGGAAGAAAGCCUUGGGGCUAAUACCCUCGAGGAAGGACAUCACCCACAGAAGAAGCACCGGCUAACUCCGUGCCAGCAGCCGCGGUAAUACGGAGGGUGCGAGCGUUAAUCGGAAUUACUGGGCGUAAAGCGCGCGUAGGCGGUCUGAUAAGCCGGUUGUGAAAGCCCCGGGCUCAACCUGGGAACGGCAUCCGGAACUGUCAGGCUAGAGUGCAGGAGAGGAAGGUAGAAUUCCCGGUGUAGCGGUGAAAUGCGUAGAGAUCGGGAGGAAUACCAGUGGCGAAGGCGGCCUUCUGGACUGACACUGACGCUGAGGUGCGAAGGCGUGGGUAGCAAACAGGAUUAGAUACCCGAGUAGUC
This 465-nucleotide ribosomal RNA is filed under the name Vreelandella stevensii. Its description in RNAcentral is "partial 16S ribosomal RNA". It matches the Rfam family "Bacterial small subunit ribosomal RNA", at positions 338 to 795 of the family's 1533-position model. The record is from RNAcentral. Lineage: Bacteria; Pseudomonadati; Pseudomonadota; Gammaproteobacteria; Oceanospirillales; Halomonadaceae.